Molecule: ribosomal RNA, 467 nt
Filed under: uncultured bacterium
Lineage: Bacteria
Description: partial 16S ribosomal RNA
Rfam family: Bacterial small subunit ribosomal RNA
Source: RNAcentral
GACGAACGCUGGCGGCGUGCUUAACACAUGCAAGUCGAACGGAAAGGCCCUGCUUUUGUGGGCUGCUCGAGGUGCGAACGGGUGAGUAACACGUGGGUAACCUGCCCUUGACUUUGGGAUAACUUCAUGAAACUUAGUCUAAUACCGCAUAGGAGCUCCUGCUGCAUGGUGGGGGUGGGAAAGUUUCGGCGGUUGGGGAUGGACUGGCGGCUUAUUAGCUUGUUGGUUGGUAGUGGCUUACCAAGGCUUUGACGGGUAGCCGGACUGAGAGGGUGAGCGGGAACAUCGGGACUGAGACACGGACACGACUCAUACGGGAGGCAGCAGUGGGGAAUAUUACACAAUGGGAGGAAGCGUGAUGCAGAACCGCCGCGUGCGGGAUGACGGCGUUCGGGUUGUAAACCGAUUUCGCCUGUGCCGAAGCGUGAGUGACGGUAACGGGUAAAGAAGCACCGGCUAACUACGUG